AUUGAACGCUGGCGGCAUGCCUUACACAUGCAAGUCGAACGGCAGCACGGGAGCAAUCCUGGUGGCGAGUGGCGAACGGGUGAGUAAUAUAUCGGAACGUGCCCAGUCGUGGGGAUAACGUAGCGAAAGCUACGCUAAUACCGCAUACGAUCUAUGGAUGAAAGCGGGGGAUCGCAAGACCUCGCGCGAUUGGAGCGGCCGAUAUCAGAUUAGGUAGUUGGUGAGGUAAAGGCUCGCCAAGCCGACGAUCUGUAGCUGGUCUGAGAGGACGACCAGCCACACUGGGACUGAGACACGGCCCAGACUCCUACGGGAGGCAGCAGUGGGGAAUUUUUGGACAAUGGGCGCAAGCCUGAUCCAGCAAUGCCGCGUGCAGGAUGAAGGCC
This 386-nucleotide ribosomal RNA is filed under the name uncultured bacterium. Its description in RNAcentral is "bacterial SSU rRNA". It matches the Rfam family "Bacterial small subunit ribosomal RNA", at positions 30 to 416 of the family's 1533-position model. The record is from RNAcentral.